Molecule: ribosomal RNA, 277 nt
Filed under: uncultured bacterium
Lineage: Bacteria
Description: partial 16S ribosomal RNA
Rfam family: Bacterial small subunit ribosomal RNA
Source: RNAcentral
AUGUGCCAGCAGCCGCGGUAAUACGUAGGGUCCAAGCGUAUAAUCGGAAUUACUGGGCGUAAAGCGUGCGCAGGCGGUUGUGCAAGACCGAUGUGAAAUCCCCGAGCUUAACUUGGGAAUUGCAUUGGUGACUGCACGGCUAGAGUGUGUCAGAGGGGGGUAGAAUUCCACGUGUAGCAGUGAAAUGCGUAGAGAUGUGGAGGAAUACCGAUGGCGAAGGCAGCCCCCUGGGAUAACACUGACGCUCAUGCACGAAAGCGUGGGGAGCAAACAGGAU